UCAGAGCAGAGAUUUUGUCUGACUUCUUAACAGCUCGCUCCCAGCAGGCGAGCCCUGCGGUGCAUGCAGUGGACGUGGCGGUGGGCUUUGGAGGCAGGCCCCUCUCUGAGCUCUGCAUUGCCGUGACAUGCGCGCCCGGGGUUUCUCUGUGUAGCUCUGGCUGUCCUGGAACUCACUCUGUAGAUGAAGGUGGCCUUCCCAAGUGCUGGGAUUAAAGGUGUACGCCAUCCCAGAACAGCCCUGCUUCUUUGAUGUGAAGAAAAGAAAUUAACAUUUAUCUUGUCUAUGGUAUGUAUGGCUGAAAGAAAAAGGAGGAGGGGGGUUGAAAGUGGAGAUAAGAGAAAGGAAAGAAGAAAUGAAGGAAAAAAGGGGGUCUGAGCACUUGUUCUUGCAGAGGACUCCAGUUAAAUUCCCAGCACCCACAUGGCAGCUCAGAACUGUCUGUAACUCCAGUUCCAGGGGACCCGACGCCCUCUUCUGGCCCCGGUGGGCACCGCAUGCAUGUGGUGCGUAUACAUGCAGGCAAACACUCCUACCCAUAAAACUAAAGUAAAUAAUUAUAUAUUUUUUAAAGUAAAGAAGGGGGCAAACAAAUAGGAAAAUGAGUCCAUGCACAAACUUCAAAACUCACAUGACCUUGGGGCUCAUCUUGGGCACUUGACUAGGAGCUUAUUCAUCUGCAAGACAAAGUGAGUCAUACUUGUCCCCAACACCAGUGUAGACGGAGCCCUACACAGCAAUGCUGUAGGUUCCCCCCCUCCCCCGACUGGCCGUGGAGGUGAGCACAUGCCUCACAGGGCCACUGAGAUGCAGGGUCCAGCUGAGCUGACCCACACUGGGGACACCACCCAAUCCUGGAGACGCUUGCGACAUAAAGGGCCAGUUCCCGGACUGGGAAACAGGGACCGGGUGGCCCAAGCUUUCAUCUCAGGGUGUUUGACUAGGAGCACCCAGGGUUGCAUUGCGGGAGUGCUUGGCGGCCUGGGCCUUUGGUAGUGAAGAAAUGGAUCCUGUCGUUAAACCGGUAUUUGCAUUUGUCUAUCUGCUUCCUCUUCUCUGCUUGAACCCACGGAUGAAAAGCAGAGGUUCUGAACUGUGACUCCCUGAGCGUCUUCGGAACGCUGGGCAGGUGAUGACCCUGCGCCAUCAGCAGAGUCACUACUGAGUCCCUGGAAACCCACAUCCCCCCAGGAAGACGCCCCAUGUCAUGGAGCGGCACACACACAGAUGCUCGUGCCGUGUGCCUGUGAGAGAUCGCCUGACACUUUGAAGGCACUAAUUACGGGAACUGUGGGUCAGUCCUGCCUGCCUGACACCCUCCUUCCCCUGUUUUCAUCUCAGACAAGGAAUAAAAGAGCCAGCCUCCCUUGUGGUCAGACCACCACGGCAGAGCAAAGGCCCAGCCCUCCCCAGCGCCUUGGCUCUGUCCGACUGGGCACUAGCAGGGAGGUUCAAUGGCUGCCUUGUUGAGACUUCCACAGGGUUGGCCUGGAAGGAACCAUUAAAAAACAGUUUAGUCAGAACAAAA
Mesocricetus auratus (golden hamster) is the source of this 1528-nucleotide long non-coding RNA. RefSeq lists it as uncharacterized. Lineage: Eukaryota; Metazoa; Chordata; Mammalia; Rodentia; Cricetidae. The transcript has 2 exons. The record is from RefSeq and is a predicted model, not a curated record.